UCCCAUGAUGACAGAUGAGAUA
This 22-nucleotide microRNA is filed under the name Lotus japonicus. RNAcentral describes it as "lja-miR11124-3p". Lineage: Eukaryota; Viridiplantae; Streptophyta; Magnoliopsida; Fabales; Fabaceae. The record is from miRBase by way of RNAcentral.